GACGAACGCUGGCGGCGUGCUUAACACAUGCAAGUCGAACGGAAAGGCCCUGCUUUUGUUGGGGACUCGAGUGGCGAACGGGUGAGUAACACGGGAGUAACCUGCCCUUGACUUGGGGAUAACUUCAGGAAACUGGGGCUAAUACCGGAUAGGAGCUCCUGCUGCAUGGUGGGGGUUGGAAAGUUUCGGCGGUGGGGGAUGGACUCGCGGCUUAUCAGCUGGUUGGGGGGGUAGUGGCUUACCAAGGCUUUGACGGGUAGCCGGCCUGAGAGGGUGACCGGCCACAUUGGGACUGAGAGACGGCCCAGACUCCUACGGGAGGCAGCAGUGGGGAAUAUUGCACAAUGGGGGGAAGCCUGAUGCAGCAACGCCGCGUGCGGGAUGACGGCCUUCGGGUUGUAAACCGCUUUCGCCUGUGACGAAGCGUGGGUGACGGUAAUGGGUAAAGAAGCACCGGCUAACUACGUG
This 468-nucleotide ribosomal RNA is filed under the name uncultured bacterium. Its description in RNAcentral is "partial 16S ribosomal RNA". It matches the Rfam family "Bacterial small subunit ribosomal RNA", at positions 28 to 507 of the family's 1533-position model. The record is from RNAcentral.